This 433-nucleotide ribosomal RNA is filed under the name uncultured Lachnospiraceae bacterium. Its description in RNAcentral is "bacterial SSU rRNA". It matches the Rfam family "Bacterial small subunit ribosomal RNA", at positions 341 to 792 of the family's 1533-position model. Lineage: Bacteria; Bacillati; Bacillota; Clostridia; Lachnospirales; Lachnospiraceae. The record is from RNAcentral.
ACGGAAGGCAGCAGUGGGGAAUAUUGGACAAUGGGGGAAACCCUGAUCCAGCGGCGCCGCGUGAGUGAAGAAGUAUUUCGGUAUGUAAAGCUCUAUCAGCAAGGAAGAAAAUGACGGUACUUGACUAAGAAGCUCCGGCUAAAUACGUGCCAGCAGCCGCGGUAAUACGUAUGGAGCAAGCGUUAUCCGGAUUUACUGGGUGUAAAGGGAGCGCAGACGGCAAAGCAAGUCUGAAGUGAAAUGCCGGGGCUUAACCCCGGGACUGCUUUGGAAACUGUUUAGCUAGAGUGCAGGAGAGGUAAGCGGAAUUCCUAGUGUAGCGGUGAAUGCGUAGAUAUUAGGAGGAACACCAGUGGCGAAGGCGGCUUACUGGACUGUAACUGACGUUGAGGCUCGAAAGCGUGGGGAGCAAACAGGAUUAGAUACCCUGGUA